CGGCGUGCUUAACACAUGCAAGUCGAACGAGACGAUUUAGAAGCUUGCUUUUAUUGAGUUGAGUGGCAAACGGGUGAGUAACGCGUAGACAACCUGCCGCAAAGAUGGGGACAACAGUCCGAAAGGACUGCUAAUACCGAAUGUUGUAUCUCCUCCGCAUGGAAGAGAUAUUAAAGAUGGCCUCUACUUGUAAGCUAUCGCUUUGCGAUGGGUCUGCGUCUGAUUAGCUAGUUGGUGGGGCAACGGCCUACCAAGGCGACGAUCAGUAGCCGGUCUGAGAGGAUGAACGGCCACAUUGGAACUGAGACACGGUCCAGACUCCUACGGGAGGCAGCAGUGGGGAAUCUUCCGCAAUGGGCGAAAGCCUGACGGAGCAACGCCGCGUGAGUGAAGAAGGUCUUCGGAUCGUAAAGCUCUGUUGUCGGGGACGAAUGUUGAGACCUAGAACAUAGGUUUCAAAUGACGGUACCUGACGAGGAAGCCACGGCUAACUACGUG
Molecule: ribosomal RNA, 498 nt
Filed under: uncultured bacterium
Lineage: Bacteria
Description: bacterial SSU rRNA
Rfam family: Bacterial small subunit ribosomal RNA
Source: RNAcentral